RNAcentral lists this ribosomal RNA (497 nucleotides) under uncultured bacterium. Its description in RNAcentral is "partial 16S ribosomal RNA". It matches the Rfam family "Bacterial small subunit ribosomal RNA", at positions 28 to 507 of the family's 1533-position model. The record is from RNAcentral.
GAUGAACGCUGGCGGCGUGCCUAAUACAUGCAAGUCGAGCGAACGGACGAGAAGCUUGCUUCUCUGAUGUUAGCGGCGGACGGGUGAGUAACACGUGGAUAACCUACCUAUAAGACUGGGAUAACUUCGGGAAACCGGAGCUAAUACCGGAUAAUAUUUUGAACCGCAUGGUUCAAAAGUGAAAGACGGUCUUGCUGUCACUUAUAGAUGGAUCCGCGCUGCAUUAGCUAGUUGGUAAGGUAACGGCUUACCAAGGCAACGUUGCAUAGCCGACCUGAGAGGGUGAUCGGCCACACUGGAACUGAGACACGGUCCAGACUCCUACGGGAGGCAGCAGUAGGGAAUCUUCCGCAAAGGGCGAAAGCCUGACGGAGCAACGCCGCGUGAGUGCUGAAGGUCUUCGGAUCGUAAAACUCUGUUAUUAGGGAAGAACAUAUGUGUAAGUAACUGUGCACAUCUUGACGGUACCUAAUCAGAAAGCCACGGCUAACUACGUG